GGUUUUGAUUCUGGCUCAGAUUGAACGCUGGCGGGAUGCUUUACAUGCAAGUCGAACGCGCACGGACUUCGGUCUGGUGGCGAGUGGCGAGCAGGUGGUAAUGUAUCGGAACGUGCAAUCGGCAGGAUAACUACACGGCAUAUUAUUCACGCCGCCCUUCGAGAAGCGAGACCUUCGGGCCUCGCACUAUUGAAGCGGCCGAUAUCGGUUAAGCUGGUUGGUGGGGUAACGGCUCACGGAAAACAAUCGGCAAACUGAUUGAGACGUCAUGCCUGCGGACCUGAACGGCUGAAAUACCAGGAGGGCGGCAGUGAAAUUUUGGACAAUGGGGAAACCCACAGUCGUCCAUCCGCGUGUGCGAUGAAGGCCUUCGGGUUGUAAGCACUUUUGGCAGGAAAAGAAACGGCACGGGAUAAUACGUGCAGCUGACAAUACCUGCAGAAUAAGCACCGGCUAACUACGUGCCAGCAGCCGCGGUAAUGCGUAGGGUGCAAGCGUUAAUCGGAAUUACUGGGCGUAAAGCGUGCGCAGGCGGUUCGGAAAGAAAGAUGAUCAGGCUGCUGGUGCAUUUUUAACACCGAGCUAGAGUGUGUCAGAGGGAGGUGAAUUCGAUGGCAGUGAAAUGCGUAGAUAUGCGGGCUUGCAAAUGGCGAAGGCGGCCUCCUGGGAUGCUGCGGCUGGCGCUCAUGCUGCAAGCGUGGGGGCAAACAGGAUUAGAUACCUCUGGUAGUCCACGCCACAAACGAUGUCAACUAGCUGUUGGACAACUUCGGGCCUUGGUAGCGCAAUAACGCGUGAAGUUGACCGCCUGAAGUAUACGAUCGCAGAUUAAAACUCAAAGGAACCAGCGGGACCGCACAAGCAGUGGAUGAUGUGGAUUAAUUCGAUGCAACGCAGAAAACCUUACCUACCCUUGACAUGUCUGGAAUCCCGAAGAGAUUUGGGAGUGCUCGCAAGAGAACCGGAACACAGGUGCUGCAUGGCUGUCGUCAGCUCGUGUCGUGAGAUGUUGGGUUAAGUCCCGCAACGAGCGCAACCCUUGUCAUUAGUUGCUACGAAAGGGCGCUCUAAUGGACUGAUAAGCAAACCGGAGGAAGGUGGGGAUGACGUCAAGUCCUCAUGGCCCUUAUGGGUAGGGCUUCACACGUCAUACAAUGGUCAGGACAGAGGGUCGCCAACCCCGCGAAGAGGGCCAAUCUGAAGGCCGAUCAUGGUCGGAUCGCAGUCUGCAACUCGACUGCGUGAAGUCGGAAUCGCUAGUAAUCGCGGAUCAGCAUGUCGCGGUGAAUACGUUCGGGGUCUUGUACACACCGCCCGUCACACCAUGGGAGUGGGUUUUACCAGAAGUAGUUAGCCUAACCGUAGGAGGGCGACGAUUACCACAGCGGAUUCAUGACUGGGGUGAAGUCAUGCUAAGAUA
RNAcentral lists this ribosomal RNA (1420 nucleotides) under uncultured Bordetella sp. RNAcentral describes it as "partial 16S-23S ribosomal RNA intergenic spacer". It matches the Rfam family "Bacterial small subunit ribosomal RNA". Lineage: Bacteria; Pseudomonadati; Pseudomonadota; Betaproteobacteria; Burkholderiales; Alcaligenaceae. The record is from RNAcentral.